Molecule: microRNA, 23 nt
Filed under: Gallus gallus (chicken)
Lineage: Eukaryota; Metazoa; Chordata; Aves; Galliformes; Phasianidae
Description: gga-miR-1775-5p
Source: miRBase by way of RNAcentral
UGAAUGCUUCGUGCAACAGGAAG